Molecule: long non-coding RNA, 3219 nt
Organism: Lolium perenne
Lineage: Eukaryota; Viridiplantae; Streptophyta; Magnoliopsida; Poales; Poaceae
Source: RefSeq, a predicted model, not a curated record
UCGCUCGCCGGCGCGCUCCGCCCCAACAUGUCCCCCCGUUCACCGGCGAGCUCGUCCCGGAUUCGUCCCUCGUUGGCCUACUCCUCUUAGACCAGUCGUGCCGCCGUGCCGUGGUCAGGAGAGUCCCCUCCUGUGGCGAUACAGCCGGGCCUCCUAUGCCGAACGCCGGCAGGCCGUUCACCGCUCGGAUUCGGUAAGGAUUGAGGUCAAGAUCUCGCCGCUGGUGGAUGGCUCACAAAUAGAAUUGGAUAACGGGGCUGGAGAGACGAGUGGCCAGGGGGAUUGGGAUUCAGAUGGAGCUACAGCCUCUGCCAGGGAGAAGCUCUGGUGCUUAGGGAAGGGGGUUCUUCGUGGAGACGGAGCUAGAGGUCAGGGAGGCAUAUCGUGCCCAGUCAGCAGGCUCCGCUGCGGCUCAUGAGGAUCAAGGGAAGGUACAUAUGAGAAUGGGGUGGAGAGGCACGCGGCCAAGCAAAAGGCACCUACGAAUUGGGUCCUGUGCACUUUCUCUGAUAUUUUAGAGCUUAUUCCUUUCCAUAAGUAUGUCAUUAUUGUAUUGGGUGAUGCUGACAAUGUAGAAGGCAUGCCGUUUGCUAAUUCUCCCUGCAAGCAUGCAAAGCUUGGUUCGCUUCCAAAUCAACAAGGAGCAUAUGAAGAAGUUUCUACAUACUACAGAGAUAGGUCAUAUCCUACCAGAAUAUCAAAGUCCGCCUAUCACCUCUAGUUUGUGUUGCACUUUCAUCUCCUUCCCCCCAAUUUAUGUGUGGCCAUCUGGUUAUGUAUUCUGAUGAAUGAGCACUAUGUGUCUAUGUUGUUUUUUUGUCUUUACGGUUUGUAGAAGAAAUUCAUUGCUACUGAUUUCUGCCUCGUGUUUUACAGGUAAUAAACGAGACGGUCUGGUUGGCCAACAUUGCGCCAAACAUUUCUAGGAAGACGCUGCAAGAUGUUCAGUUCAAAGGUGAAACCCUCCUUAUACAAUUGAAGAAUAUAGAUCUAUCAUGCAUAAAAGCCAAACCAUUUUAUCUUGAUGUUAUGAUCUAUAUGAAAUAGAAAUAGUAACUGAGUACUUCUCAAAUUAUAAACCUGAAGAGGAGAUUCUUUGCACUACAAUUCAAAUGGAUCAGGUUCAAGUUAGUACCUGGAUUAUUAUUCCACUGAUUUUUUUUACACUGGGAUUAUAAAAACACUAUCUGGGACUGGAUAGCUUUUUUUUACGCUUUGAACAACUUGCAUCUUAACACUAUCAUGAUUUAUUAUUUGAACAACCUAGAGUGCGAUUCAGCUGAUCUGUGUUCCAGAGAAAGGUUGGGUGGUGCGGUUGAUUCAGGUAUGCUCUAUUCAAAGAGGGAUGCUACUUAAUAGCUUUGGGAGCAAAUGUUGCAUCGUGGUUAUGAAAUGAUAUGUUUGUCAGUCAUCAAAGUACAACAACUAAAAAAACAAAUUAUAAAAAUACUAUUCAUAGCAGGCUUUGUUAUCCAAUUGUAAAUGAUACUUACAGUUGAUGUAUGAAUUCCAAAACUGCGAGUGGUCCUGUGAACAUCCUUCAAAGCAGAAAUUGAUUCGAUUUGGCCAAAUUCAUUCAUGAGAUGAUUUGUACAAAGUAUACCACAGUUCAGGCACUAAUGUGAUUAUUAAUACAGAUACAAGAUAGUUCGUGGUGCUAUCAGAAUCUGAAUAAUGAAAUUUUGAAACCCGAUGGCGUUACACUGCAUACAAACCUGGAAUGGUUGCCACAAAAAGGAAUUGCCUAUUAGUUGACCUACAUCGUCUAUGGUUUACAGUAUAUAAUAACUGUCUCAAAGAGCAAAUCGAAUAAUAUGUGCUAUUGGCAAUAUAACUUAUUACACUGGUCUCUCUCAUAUGUCAGGUUGUGUUGUUUUAACGGAGCAGAAAAAAGUCAAGUUGAUAAUGUGUUGAUAUAUGUUACUACUGGAAUAUCAUCUCUCAUGUAUUAGCUUAUUGGUGAUUCCUAGAUGACAGUGUAAAUAUGUACAAAGAUGCAACCUUGACAAUAUUGCAUAAGAGAUUCAGUUGGAACUCCGCAAAAGAAGGAUUUAGCUGGGAUUUAUGAGCACUGAUGUUAGUAUUGUAUAAAAUUGAAGUGGUAUGCAUCAAAUUUAUUGAAUGUGGCAGAGAAUUAAUUUGUCUUGACAUUCUGGAUAUUUUGGGACAUUUAAGUCGGGAGAAUAUGCUUCAAGAGGAUGCAGGAGUUUUUUCUCGAAUGAUGUGAAUAAGUUACACGAGCUUCAGUUUUCAGGUACAGUCAGAUUUUUUACGAGAUAUCACACGGUAUUAUACUUUUCACAUUAUUACAGUGGCGCCAUCGAUAGUACACAUGACAAUCUCUAAUACUAUGAAGAGGGAGAUUCAUCAUCUGUCGUGCGCUGCGACCCAUGAUCCGCACUUGUAAGAAAAACCGUUGCCAAAAAAGAUCAUGGCGAAAGAACCAGUUUGCAUGUAUGUUCAUGCUAAUGUGUUUCAAUUCGAGCAUGACAAAGUAGUCAACACGGGGCAUCAUUGAGGUGUGGAAGGGUUAGGUGGAAGAGGACAGCCUCGCCACCAUACCAAGGCCGUCAGCGAGGCCAUGGCUAUGAUGCUGCACCUGCAGAGGGAGAAGGCCCAUGUCCAGAUGGACCUUUGCCAGUUCUUUUGCCUUGCCCACAGGAAGCUCGUCAUUGUUGCCGCCAAGCUUGAGAUUAUGGAUCCCACUGCAGCGUCAAGGACAGGUUGUAUCAUUUAUUAUCUUCCUCAUUUUUCAAUGCUUCAUUUUGUUUCCUUCCCUUAAUUGACCUGCUGACCAGCUAAUCGUGCUCUCGACCGUAUGUGUUUGUUUCAACGAAGGAAUCAACAUGAUAUUCGACGCCGAAGAGAAGGGUUUGAGAUUCAGCACAUCUUCUCUCUGCCCGUCUACAUACCUCAUAUGCUCAGAGUGUUCUUUGCUCAUAGAAGGUUAUAUCAUAAUUUUUAAGAGGAGAAGCGUAUUAUCGUAACAAUAGUAAUUCAUGCUCUCUGCUAGAUUAAACUAUCAAAGUGAUGAACUGUGAAAGCUAUUCCGUUUUUACUUGCAUACAGAGGAGGCUUUUUUUUCACUUAUGGGUUUCUAAAAUACUACUAUUUCUAGGACCUUUUUGAUGCCUACGGAAAACCUUAUGUUAUCAAAACUUAUGUUGCAUACGGGUAUAGGUAUUAGCUAAUAGUAUGAAGUAAAGGAGGGAUUCCAUA